Molecule: ribosomal RNA, 120 nt
Organism: Sinocyclocheilus anshuiensis
Lineage: Eukaryota; Metazoa; Chordata; Actinopteri; Cypriniformes; Cyprinidae
Source: Ensembl
UGCCACAGCCAUAUCACCCAGCAGCCCAAGACUGGUUACCCACUGUAACUAACCAGGGUUGAGCCUGGUCAGUACCUGGAUGGGAGAGCUCCUGGGAAAAUGCUCCGGUUACUCACGUAA